RNAcentral lists this ribosomal RNA (913 nucleotides) under uncultured bacterium. Its description in RNAcentral is "bacterial SSU rRNA". It matches the Rfam family "Bacterial small subunit ribosomal RNA", at positions 8 to 916 of the family's 1533-position model. The record is from RNAcentral.
AGAGUUUGAUCAUGGCUCAGAUUGAACGCUGGCGGCAGGCCUAACACAUGCAAGUCGAGCGGAUGAGGGGUGCUUGCACCCCGAUUCAGCGGCGGACGGGUGAGUAAUGCCUAGGAAUCUGCCCGAUAGUGGGGGACAACGUUUCGAAAGGAACGCUAAUACCGCAUACGUCCUACGGGAGAAAGUGGGGGCUCUUCGGACCUCACGCUAUCGGAUGAGCCUAGGUCGGAUUAGCUAGUUGGUGGGGUAAAGGCCCACCAAGGCGACGAUCCGUAACUGGUCUGAGAGGAUGAUCAGUCACACUGGAACUGAGACACGGUCCAGACUCCUACGGGAGGCAGCAGUGGGGAAUAUUGGACAAUGGGCGAAAGCCUGAUCCAGCCAUGCCGCGUGUGUGAAGAAGGUCUUCGGAUUGUAAAGCACUUUAAGUCGGGAGGAAGGGCUGUAGGUUAAUACCCUGCGGUUUUGACGUUACCGACAGAAUAAGCACCGGCUAACUUCGUGCCAGCAGCCGCGGUAAUACGAAGGGUGCAAGCGUUAAUCGGAAUUACUGGGCGUAAAGCGCGCGUAGGUGGUUUGGUAAGUUGGAUGUGAAAGCCCCGGGCUCAACCUGGGAACUGCAUCCAAAACUGCCUGACUAGAGUACGGUAGAGGGUGGUGGAAUUUCCUGUGUAGCGGUGAAAUGCGUAGAUAUAGGAAGGAACACCAGUGGCGAAGGCGACCACCUGGACUGAUACUGACACUGAGGUGCGAAAGCGUGGGGAGCAAACAGGAUUAGAUACCCUGGUAGUCCACGCCGUAAACGAUGUCGACUAGCCGUUGGGCUCCUUGAGAGCUUAGUGGCGCAGCUAACGCAUUAAGUCGACCGCCUGGGGAGUACGGCCGCAAGGUUAAAACUCAAAGGAAUUGACGG